RNAcentral lists this transfer RNA (91 nucleotides) under Chlamydia trachomatis. RNAcentral describes it as "tRNA-Ser(gct)". It matches the Rfam family "tRNA". Rfam says of the family: Transfer RNA (tRNA) molecules are approximately 80 nucleotides in length. The record is from RNAcentral. Lineage: Bacteria; Pseudomonadati; Chlamydiota; Chlamydiia; Chlamydiales; Chlamydiaceae. RNAcentral also lists the same sequence under 15 other names.
UGGAAAGAUGACUGAGUGGUCGAAAGUACGUCCCUGCUAAGGACGCGUACCCCUUAAAGGGUACCGAGGGUUCGAAUCCCUCUCUUUCCGU